GAUCCUGGCUCAGAAUCAACGCUGGCGGCGUGCCUAACACAUGCAAGUCGAACGAGAAAGUGGAGCAAUCCAUGAGUAAAGUGGCGCACGGGUGAGUAACGCGUGACAACCUACCCUUGAGUGGGGAAUAACUUCGGGAAACCGAGGCUAAUACCGCAUAACACCUACGGGUCAAAGGAGCAAUUCGCUUAAGGAGGGGGUCGCGGCAGAUUAGUUAGUUGGCGGGGUAAUGGCCCACCAAGACGGUGAUCUGUAUCCGGCCUGAGAGGGCGCACGGACACACUGGAACUGAAACACGGUCCAGACUCCUACGGGAGGCAGCAGUGGGGAAUUUUGCGCAAUGGGGGAAACCCUGACGCAGCAACGCCGCGUGGAGGAUGAAGUCCCUUGGGACGUAAACUCCUUUCGAUCGGGACGAUUAUGACGGUACCGGAAGAAGAAGCCCCGGCUAACUUCGUGCCAGCAGCCGCGGUAAUACGAGGGGGGCGAGCGUUGUUCGGAAUUAUUGGGCGUAAAGGGCGCGUAGGCGGUCGGAUAAGUCUUGCGUGAAAUCUUCGGGCUCAACUCGAAGUCUGCACAGGAAACUAUCUGGCUUGAGUGUGGGAGAGGUGAGUGGAAUUCCUGGUGUAGCGGUGAAAUGCGUACAUAUCACGAGGAACACCUGUGCAAAAGCGGCUCACUGGACCACAACUGACGCUGAAGCGCGAAAGCUACGGGAGCAAACACGAUUAGAUACCCUGGUAGUCCUACCCUAACGAUGAUUGCUCGGCGUGACGGGUACCCAAUCCCGCCAUGUCGUAGCUAACGCGCUAUGCAAUCCGCCUGGGGAGUACGGCCGCAGGGCUGAAACUCAAAGGAAUUGACGGGGGCCCGCACAAGCAGUGGAGCAUGUGGUUU
This 897-nucleotide ribosomal RNA is filed under the name uncultured bacterium. Its description in RNAcentral is "bacterial SSU rRNA". It matches the Rfam family "Bacterial small subunit ribosomal RNA", at positions 15 to 947 of the family's 1533-position model. The record is from RNAcentral.